UACGUAGGUGGCAAGCGUUGUCCGGAUUUACUGGGCGUAAAGAGCGCGCAGGCGGUCGUGCAAGUCGCGUGUGAAAGCCCCCGGCUCAACUGGGGAGGGUCACGCGAUACUGCUCGACUCGAAGGCAGGAGAGGAAAGUGGAAUUCCCGGUGUAGUGGUGAAAUGCGUAGAUAUCGGGAGGAACACCAGUGGCGAAGGCGACUUCCUGGCCUGUUCUUGACGCUGAGGCGCGAAAGCUAGGGUAGCAAACGGGGAUUAAGAAACCCUUG
RNAcentral lists this ribosomal RNA (269 nucleotides) under uncultured bacterium. RNAcentral describes it as "partial 16S ribosomal RNA". It matches the Rfam family "Bacterial small subunit ribosomal RNA", at positions 524 to 790 of the family's 1533-position model. The record is from RNAcentral.